Molecule: ribosomal RNA, 400 nt
Filed under: uncultured bacterium
Lineage: Bacteria
Description: bacterial SSU rRNA
Rfam family: Bacterial small subunit ribosomal RNA
Source: RNAcentral
UAGGGAAUUUUCGGCAAUGGGCGCAAGCCUGACCGAGCAACGCCGCGUGAGUGAAGAAGGCCUUCGGGUUGUAAAGCUCUGUUGUAAGGGAAGAAUGGCCAAGAGAGGGAAUGCUCUUGGAGUGACGGUACCUUACCAGAAAGCCACGGCUAACUACGUGCCAGCAGCCGCGGUAAUACGUAGGUGGCAAGCGUUAUCCGGAAUUAUUGGGCGUAAAGGGAGCGUAGGCGGCUUGAUAAGUCUGAGGUGAAAGUUCGGGGCUCAACUCCGGAUUGCCUUAGAAACUGUCAGGCUAGAGUGCAGGAGAGGGCAAUGGAAUUCCAUGUGUAGCGGUAAAAUGCGUAGAUAUAUGGAGGAACACCAGUGGCGAAGGCGGUUGCCUGGCCUGUAACUGACGCUG